CCUACGGGAGGCAGCAGUGGGGAAUAUUGCACAAUGGGGGAAACCCUGAUGCAGCGACGCCGCGUGAGUGAAGAAGUAUCUCGGUACGUAAAGCUCUAUCAGCAGGGAAGAAAAUGACGGUACCUGACUAAGAAGCCCCGGCUAACUACGUGCCAGCAGCCGCGGUAAUACGUAGGGGGCAAGCGUUAUCCGGAUUUACUGGGUGUAAAGGGAGCGUAGACGGCAGCACAAGUCUGGAGUGAAAUCCCGGGGCCUAACCCCGGAACUGCUUUGGAAACUGUGCGGCUGGAGUGCAGGAGGGGUAAGCGGAAUUCCUGGUGUAGCGGUGAAAUGCGUAGAUAUUAGGAGGAACACCGGUGGCGAAGGCGGCUUACUGGACUGUAACUGACGUUGAGGCUCGAAAGCGUGGGGAGCAAACAGGAUUAGAUACCCUUGUAGUC
This 440-nucleotide ribosomal RNA is filed under the name uncultured bacterium. RNAcentral describes it as "partial 16S ribosomal RNA". It matches the Rfam family "Bacterial small subunit ribosomal RNA", at positions 338 to 795 of the family's 1533-position model. The record is from RNAcentral.